This 924-nucleotide ribosomal RNA is filed under the name Atheta bosnica. RNAcentral describes it as "SSU rRNA". It matches the Rfam family "Eukaryotic small subunit ribosomal RNA", at positions 439 to 1292 of the family's 1831-position model. Lineage: Eukaryota; Metazoa; Arthropoda; Insecta; Coleoptera; Staphylinidae. The record is from RNAcentral.
AAUUACCCACUCCCAGCACGGGGAGGUAGUGACGAAAAAUAACGAUACGGGACUCAUCCGAGGCCCCGUAAUCGGAAUGAGUACAUUUUAAAACUAUCCCCAAAGAUCAAUUGGAGGGUAAGUCUGGUGCCAGCAGCCGCGGUAAUUCCAGCUCCAAUAGCGUAUAUUAAAGUUGUUGCGGUUAAAAAGCUCGUAGUCGAAUCUGUGUCCCGCGCCGCUGGUUCAUCGCUCGCGGUGUUCAACUGGCGUGUCUCGCGGGACGUCCUGCCGGUGGGCUCGCGUAUUGCUUCGGCGGUGCGUGGCCCAACUCGUUUCCGUCUCGCGCGGUUAUGAAUCCCAUCGCGGUGCUCUUUAUUGAGUGUCGAGGUGGGCCGGCACGUUUACUUUGAACAAAUUAGAGUGCUUAAAGCAGGCCAAUUUUGCCUGAAUAUUGUGUGCAUGGAAUAAUGAAAUAGGACCUCGGUUCUAUUUUGUUGGUUUUCGGAACCCCGAGGUAAUGAUUAAUAGGAACGGAUGGGGGCAUUCGUAUUGCGACGUUAGAGGUGAAAUUCUUGGAUCGUCGCAAGACGGACAGAAGCGAAAGCAUUUGCCAAAAACGUUUUCAUUGAUCAAGAACGAAAGUUAGAGGUUCGAAGGCGAUCAGAUACCGCCCUAGUUCUAACCAUAAACGAUGCCAGCUAGCGAUCCGCCGACGUUCCUCCGAUGACUCGGCGGGCAGCUUCCGGGAAACCAAAGCUUUUGGGUUCCGGGGGAAGUAUGGUUGCAAAGCUGAAACUUAAAGGAAUUGACGGAAGGGCACCACCAGGAGUGGAGCCUGCGGCUUAAUUUGACUCAACACGGGACACCUCACCAGGCCCGGACACCGGAAGGAUUGACAGAUUGAUAGCUCUUUCUUGAUUCGGUGGGUGGUGGUGCAUGGCCGUU